This 199-nucleotide ribosomal RNA is filed under the name uncultured bacterium. RNAcentral's name for it is "partial 16S ribosomal RNA". It matches the Rfam family "Bacterial small subunit ribosomal RNA", at positions 1302 to 1500 of the family's 1533-position model. The record is from RNAcentral.
AGUCUGCAACCCGACUACAUGAAGCUGGAAUCGCUAGUAAUCGCGGAUCAGAAUGCCGCGGUGAAUACGUUCCCGGGUCUUGUACACACCGCCCGUCACACCAUGGGAGUCGGAAAUGCCCGAAGUCUGUGACCCAACCGCGAGGAGGGAGCAGCCGAAGGCAGGUCGGAUGACUGGGGUGAAGUCGUAACAAGGUAUC